Biomphalaria pfeifferi is the source of this 843-nucleotide non-coding RNA. The record is from the annotation of a GenBank genome assembly. Lineage: Eukaryota; Metazoa; Mollusca; Gastropoda; Planorbidae.
UUUAUUGGAUGAUGUGACAUUUACGGGACGUAGUGACAUUUAUCGGAUGGAGUGACAUUUAUUGGAUGAUGUGACAUUUACGGGACGUAGUGACAUUUACUGGAUGUAGUGACAUUUACGGGAAGUAGUGACAUUUAUCGGAUGAAGUGACAUUUAUUGGAUGAUGUGACAUUUACGGGACGUAGUGACAUUUACUGGAUGUAGUGACAUUUACGGGAAGUAGUGACAUUUACUUGACGUAGGGACAAUUACUGGACGCGGUGACAUUGACUAAGCGUAGUGACUAUUACUUAACGGAAUGACAUUUACUGAACAUAACCUAACUACGGACAUAAAACACACACACGCACAGAUAGACAUAAACACUUGCGCACUUUCAUUGAACAUUCACCACUGUGUUCCAAAACCUAAAUAACUUUUCAUUUCAGACAUUAUCAUAUGUUACUUUAAUAUGUUUUACUUACAUGUGAUUAUAAUAUUAUUUUUUUUUUACAUUCGUUAUUUUGCCUUCAAACAAAUGUUAUUGGAAGUAUUCCUUUUUUUUCCUUAAAUUUUUCAAUCAAUGAAUUGUUUCACUGACAGUGGCUAUAACACUUUGACUAUGAAAUGUAUAGCUACAUGUUUGUAGCGUUGAGACCAUUGUAUGUGUUCUUAAACAGCCAUGUCCAUGGAGUUACCUGCUCCCUCCUAAACCUGCUCAGCAGACGUCACACGUUAUGCUCAUAUCAGAACAUUAGUUCGUUGCAAAAAUGAUUUUUUUCUAAAUAUAGAAUUUCAGUUUGAAAUUCACGAAGAGAAGACAAUUCUGAAAGACGUGAAAUAAACAUUUUAAAAAGAACAAAC